ACUGGAUGCGCAGUCGCACUAAGGACAGAUGUGCUCUGAGGCAUGCCCCGUAACGUGUAUGAGCGGUCUGUCGUGCGGCAGGAAUAAGUUGUACAAAGUCCAUCUUAGACAUGUGUGUCACACAAGCUAGCAGCAUCCCAUGAGAAACGGGCCGAAGUGUUUAAGUGUUCACCGGAGUUUGCACCCUUGGCAAGCGGAAUGAGUUUUCACGGUGCUCAAUGUCCAGAGAAUGAGCCGUGUGUGGUGAGGAAAUAAAUGGCUGCACCCGUUAGAGACUCUUCUGUCGUUCUUGAUGCCAAGGGCUGCUACACCUGGAUCACCUGUAUGGAGAGAAAUAAACCAGAAGAGAAAUCAAACAAAAAAGAGCAACAUAAUAAAUACAUGUUAUCAUCGUUUAU
Molecule: long non-coding RNA, 398 nt
Organism: Oreochromis aureus
Lineage: Eukaryota; Metazoa; Chordata; Actinopteri; Cichliformes; Cichlidae
Exons: 3
Source: RefSeq, a predicted model, not a curated record